Molecule: long non-coding RNA, 541 nt
Filed under: Ananas comosus (pineapple)
Lineage: Eukaryota; Viridiplantae; Streptophyta; Magnoliopsida; Poales; Bromeliaceae
Description: long non-coding RNA (ACOM_LNC029943)
Source: RNAcentral
UUCAACUAUUAUUACUAUUUUUCUUUUUUCUUUUUUCUUUUUACUGCUAAUGUGAACCUUAUUUUCAGUUCGCUCCUUUUCUUUAGAAAUAAAUUUAGCUGAAAAUAUAAAGUAAUUAAGUUUUGAACGUAGGACUUCGAAUACUACCCAUUAAGUCUUUAACCAACCGUUCUAGAUAUAGUUGGUUGGUGUUACACAAUUAGUAUCAUAUGGUUUAAAGUGUAUCUUUUUAGCAUCCUGUGAUUUUAUUUUUCUCUCGCCGCCACUAUCUCUGUUGACUCUCCGUUAAAUAAUAUAUAAAAAACUUCGGAUACCCCACAUAUGAUUUAUCGAAUAUUCACUUUAGUACUCUGUGAUUUUAACUUUGUCAUUUAUUUAAUAAAAAAAUUAAUAUAGAAAAUAACGGAAAGAGAAAAAUAAAAUUACAGAGUAUUAAAAUGAUACAUUUUAAAAUCACAUAAAAGUAAAGUGAGAAAGUACGAAACUACACGUGUUAUUCGAAGUUUUUCCUAUUUAGCAUAACAUAACUUUACUCUUAUCC